RNAcentral lists this ribosomal RNA (430 nucleotides) under uncultured bacterium. Its description in RNAcentral is "bacterial SSU rRNA". It matches the Rfam family "Bacterial small subunit ribosomal RNA", at positions 917 to 1345 of the family's 1533-position model. The record is from RNAcentral.
GGACCCGCACAAGUAGUGGAGCAUGUGGUUUAAUUCGAAGAUACGCGCAGAACCUUACCAACACUUGACAUGUUCGUCGCGACUUUAAGAGAUUAAAGUUUUCGGUUCGGCCGGACGAAACACAGGUGCUGCAUGGCUGUCGUCAGCUCGUGUCGUGAGAUGUUGGGUUAAGUCCCGCAACGAGCGCAACCCUCACUUUUAGUUGCCAUCAUUUAGUUGGGCACUCUGAAAGAACUGCCAGUGAUAAGCUGGAGGAAGGUGGGGAUGACGUCAAGUCCUCAUGGCCCUUACGUGUUGGGCUACACACGUGCUACAAUGGCAUUUACAAUAGGAAGCAAGAUGGCAACAUUGAGCAAAUCCUAAAAAGAUGCCUCAGUUCGGAUUGCACUCUGCAACUCGAGUGCAUGAAGCUGGAAUUACUAGUAAUCGC